Picea glauca (white spruce) is the source of this 121-nucleotide non-coding RNA. Lineage: Eukaryota; Viridiplantae; Streptophyta; Pinopsida; Pinales; Pinaceae. The record is from Rfam.
ACAUGCCUUCAUUAUAGCAUUAAUUCAUUGGAUCCAAUUAGAACUCCAUAGUUAAGCAUGCUCAAGAUAUAAUAGUAUUGGGAUGGGUGACUUUCCGGGAAUUCCUAUUGUUUUACAAGCC